CAGUAGCCGCGGGAAUACGAAGGGGGCUAGCGUUGCUCGGAAUGACUGGGCGUAAAGGGCGCGUAGGCGGCGAUCAAAGUCAGGCGUGAAAUUCCUGGGCUCAACCUGGGGGCUGCGUUUGAUACUUGAUUGCUAGAGUGGGGAAGAGGGUCGUGGAAUUCCCAGUGUAGAGGUGAAAUUCGUAGAUAUUGGGAAGAACACCGGUGGCGAAGGCGGCGACCUGGUCCUUGACUGACGCUGAGGCGCGAAAGCGUGGGGAGCAAACAGGAUUAGAUACCCCUGUAGUCCCUGUCUCUUAUAA
This 301-nucleotide ribosomal RNA is filed under the name uncultured bacterium. RNAcentral's name for it is "partial 16S ribosomal RNA". It matches the Rfam family "Bacterial small subunit ribosomal RNA", at positions 509 to 809 of the family's 1533-position model. The record is from RNAcentral.